GGGAAAAGGAGGUAGGCUGGCAUGGAGAUGGUGAGAAGGGAUCACAUUUUAGAGACAAUCUGAAGAUAAGGCUCACGAGACUUCCUUACAGCAUGGCUUGAAUAGGCGCUAGUUAUUUGUCCUGCAUGAAGAACAUAGAACCCUGUCCUUUUUCCAAUACAUACUGAAACCACAAGACAGCAAGAAGUGUCCAGAGGGUUCUCACACAUGCACACAACCAGCAGCUUCCGCUGAAGAUGAGCAGGGUGUGGAACGUGACUGCUGGUAGGAGUGUGUGCAGCAGCGCUGCUAUCUGUGGCAUGCAGCCCUUGGCACAGGAUCAAGGAAAUCCUUUCCCGGAGCACAUCUUCAGGAUCACACACUCUUGGAACGAAUGCGCUUACGCAUCACCUAGUUCCCCAAUUUUAUCUUGAUACAUGCUAUCCGUGAA
This is a non-coding RNA of Oryctolagus cuniculus (rabbit), 430 nucleotides long. NCBI's taxonomy places the organism in Eukaryota, Metazoa, Chordata, Mammalia, Lagomorpha, Leporidae. The record is from RefSeq and is a predicted model, not a curated record.